RNAcentral lists this ribosomal RNA (253 nucleotides) under uncultured bacterium. RNAcentral's name for it is "partial 16S ribosomal RNA". It matches the Rfam family "Bacterial small subunit ribosomal RNA", at positions 524 to 776 of the family's 1533-position model. The record is from RNAcentral.
UACGGAGGGUGCGAGCGUUGUCCGGAAUCACUGGGCGUAAAGGGCGCGUAGGCGGCCUGAUAAGUAGGGGGUGAAAUACCUGAGCUUAACUUGGGAACUGCCAUUGAUACUAUUUGUCUUGAAUGUCGUGGAGGUUAGCGGAAUAUGUCAUGUAGCGGUGAAAUGCUUAGAUAUGACAUAGAACACCUAUUGCGAAGGCAGCUAACUACGCGAAUAUUGACGCUGAGGCACGAAAGCGUGGGGAUCAAACAGG